CAGUACAACUCCUACGGGAGGCAGCAGUGGGGGAAUAGUUGCAACAAUGGGGCGCAAGCCUGAUGCGGCCAUGCCGCGUGUGUGAAGAAGGCCCUCGGGUUGUAAAGCACUUUCAGUCGUGAGGAAGGUAGUGUAGUUAAUAGCUGCAUUAUUUGACGUUAGCGACAGAAGAAGCACCGGCUAACUCCGUGCCAGCAGCCGCGGUAAUACGGAGGGUGCGAGCGUUAAUCGGAAUUACUGGGCGUAAAGCACAUGCAGGUGGUUUGUUAAGUCAGAUGUGAAAGCCCCGGGGCUCAACCUCGGAAUAGCAUUUGAAACUGGCAGACUAGAGUACUGUAGAGGGGGUAGAAUUUCAGGUGUAGCGGUGAAAUGCGUAGAGAUCUGAAGGAAUACCGGUGGCGAAGGCGGCCCCCUGGACAGAUACUGACACUCAGAUGCGAAAGCGUGGGGAGCAAACAGGAUUAGAUACCCUGGUAG
Molecule: ribosomal RNA, 477 nt
Filed under: uncultured bacterium
Lineage: Bacteria
Description: bacterial SSU rRNA
Rfam family: Bacterial small subunit ribosomal RNA
Source: RNAcentral